Molecule: small nucleolar RNA, 139 nt
Filed under: Leersia perrieri
Lineage: Eukaryota; Viridiplantae; Streptophyta; Magnoliopsida; Poales; Poaceae
Description: snoRNA snoZ247
Rfam family: Small nucleolar RNA Z247
About the family: Z247 is a member of the C/D class of snoRNA which contain the C (UGAUGA) and D (CUGA) box motifs. Most of the members of the box C/D family function in directing site-specific 2'-O-methylation of substrate RNAs.
Source: Rfam by way of RNAcentral
AGUGUUGACGAACAAGAUCUGGUGGCUUACAUCCUCAACGGCCUCGACGACGACUACGAUCCGGUGGUGUCUGCACUCAUGGCGCGGGUGGAGCCGAUCUCAGUCGGUGAGCUGUAUUCACAGCUCCUGAACUUUGAAA